This 466-nucleotide ribosomal RNA is filed under the name uncultured bacterium. RNAcentral's name for it is "partial 16S ribosomal RNA". It matches the Rfam family "Bacterial small subunit ribosomal RNA", at positions 28 to 507 of the family's 1533-position model. The record is from RNAcentral.
GAUGAACGCUGGCGGCGUGCUUAACACAUGCAAGUCGAACGAUGAAGCCCAGCUUGCUGGGUGGAUUAGUGGCGAACGGGUGAGUAACACGUGAGUAACCUGCCCUUAACUCUGGGAUAAGCCUGGGAAACUGGGUCUAAUACCGGAUAGGAGCGUCCACCGCAUGGUGGGUGUUGGAAAGAUUUAUCGGUUUUGGAUGGACUCGCGGCCUAUCAGCUUGUUGGUGAGGUAAUGGCUCACCAAGGCGACGACGGGUAGCCGGCCUGAGAGGGUGACCGGCCACACCGGGACUGAGACACGGCCCAGACUCCUACGGGAGGCAGCAGUGGGGAAUAUUGCACAAUGGGCGCAAGCCAGAUGCAGCGACGCCGCGUGAGGGAUGACGGCCUUCGGGUUGUAAACCUCUUUCAGUAGGGAAGAAGCGAAAGUGACGGUACCUGCAGAAGAAGCACCGGCUAACUACGUG